RNAcentral lists this long non-coding RNA (333 nucleotides) under Homo sapiens (human). RNAcentral's name for it is "HSALNT0191525". The record is from RNAcentral. Lineage: Eukaryota; Metazoa; Chordata; Mammalia; Primates; Hominidae.
GUCGCAUUGACGUAAGAAGAGUUGUAUUUUUAUAGAAAGAAAAUAUUUUGCCUAAUCGCCUUCAAAGGAGCCUUGUACACAAUCUCUAGGCUUUGAAUGUGACUGUAUUCAGAGAAAGAACGUUCACAGAGGUGAGUUACUAUGAGGGUGUAGGGUGGGCCCUAAUUCAGACUAGUGUUCUUAUAGAGGAGAGUGUGCACAGAGGAGAGAUCAUGUGAGGACACAGCGAGAAGACAAUCAUCUGUAAGCCAAGGAGAGAGGCCUCAGAAAAAAAUCCACCCUGCUAAGAGCUUGAUCUUGGACUUACAGCCUCCAGGACUGUGAGUAAAUAAA